GGGAGCGGUUAUUUCCGCCGGAGGUGGAAAAAAAAGAACCAAUUGCCUUGAGUCACUCGACAAAUCUCGCGUGGCCGCAGUGCGACUGCAGAAUCUCUUUUCUAGAAUCUUAUCGCACGGAAGAUUUGGAGGAGCCAUAAAGAAAGGUAAUAUGUGUAUUUUAUUGUGGAAGCGCAAUUGUGUUAUCAUUUGCAGGCGACUCCAACAGUAGCGCUGAUUUAUCACCUGCGGCGUGACAUCAUGGGCACAUCACUAAAACUAUCUAGUCACUAUCUAGCUACAUUGUGGUAAGGCCCAGAUCCAAAGAUCAGGCGAAAGGUGCUCAAGAUGACUGGGCAAAUGUGAAUAGGAUUGAAAAUUAGUUUAAAGCGGCAUCGAGUUGGUUGUGAAAUGGAAAUGAACAAUUCAUUAUCGCCGCACAGACAGCUGAAUACUUGCUUGAAUAUAAAUACGAAUAUAAUUUGUGGCAAAAAAACAACAACAAACAACAUUUAUUUGCGUUAACAGUGCAAAAAUGAUUAAGCGAUAACCUUAAAGACAGAGACAGAGAGAGAGAGAGUGGGCGAAAGAGAGGGGCACAAAGAAUGUGAUCGAGAGAGAGAAUGGGGCGCCGCGCUGUGCUAAUUGUUUUUGCCAUUUUGCAGGCCCCAAUCCGAUUCACACCAACACACGCACACACACAUGCGCACACACAGCCCGAAAGAGAGAGGGGACUCUCUCGGCCGAUCUUUGAUCACGUUUCCCGCACACGACGAAGGCACCCGAUUCCAACGCUUGGAGCCUCGUUCACGUGAUAACCAUGUGCUGGCUCUCCCGCUCCCGCUGCUCUCUUCGUAUAUUUUUUAUGUGAAAAACGAGUCGCGAAAUGAGUUUGCCAUUCUUGGCACUUUAGCGGUGGGGGCAGCGAGUUCGGGACAAGAUCGGGGGAAGUUGGAGACCCAUGGGUGCGCUAUCCAUGAUUUCACCAUUGGGGAGCGCCGCUGAGAGAGACACGCGAGAAACUGCCGAUUCAUAUUGAGUCGGCCGACUAUCACGCAUUGCUCAUUCCCCAUUCUGGUCGAGAUUUGCACACUUGAUUUCGGGCCCCCCUUCCCAUCCAACCAGUUUACGAUGAUGGCCAAAAACCGAGGCCAGAAACCUAAUCAAGACCAUACACCGAGGAAACUGAAAAUCUCACUUCCUUGAAAUCUUUUAAUAAUAAUGCCACAAUGAUACAUUUCUUUUUUUUUACUUAAUGUUGCAGCUAACGCAUUUUAUUAGCCAGAGAAUUAUCUACUAUAUAUUAUAAUAUUAAUUAUUUUAAUCGUACAAUAUAUUACCCUUUUUUUGCAGUGUUCAACAUUACUUGGUCGGUAACGUUGCGCGGUUUUAUUGCGACUUGAUAAGAUCUCUUCAGAUUUCAUAAAAAUAAACUCCUUUAAAUGGGCAUUUAAUGGAUUCCCUUAUCGUGAGAUUGCUAAAGAGAUCAAGAUUCCUGCACAUGUGCUUGGCGAAUGAAAAUUGCUGAAGCGCCCAGAACUCGUAACUUACCCAGCACGAGAUCCGAUUCGAAAUGAUAGUUUUACUGGGAAUCAAAUUUAAAUUGUGUUGACUCAAAUACU
Drosophila melanogaster (fruit fly) is the source of this 1601-nucleotide non-coding RNA. Lineage: Eukaryota; Metazoa; Arthropoda; Insecta; Diptera; Drosophilidae. The record is from Ensembl.